This 538-nucleotide ribosomal RNA is filed under the name uncultured bacterium. RNAcentral's name for it is "bacterial SSU rRNA". It matches the Rfam family "Bacterial small subunit ribosomal RNA", at positions 539 to 1074 of the family's 1533-position model. The record is from RNAcentral.
CGUUGUCCGGAUUAUUGGGCGUAAAGAGCUUGUAGGCGGUUUGUCGCGUCUGCUGUGAAAGGCCGGGGCUUAACCCCGUGUAUUGCAGUGGGUACGGGCAGACUAGAGUGCAGUAGGGGAGACUGGAAUUCCUGGUGUAGCGGUGGAAUGCGCAGAUAUCAGGAGGAACACCGAUGGCGAAGGCAGGUCUCUGGGCUGUAACUGACGCUGAGAAGCGAAAGCAUGGGGAGCGAACAGGAUUAGAUACCCUGGUAGUCCAUGCCGUAAACGUUGGGCACUAGGUGUGGGGAACAUUCCACGUUUUCCGCGCCGUAGCUAACGCAUUAAGUGCCCCGCCUGGGGAGUACGGCCGCAAGGCUAAAACUCAAAGAAAUUGACGGGGGCCCGCACAAGCGGUGGAGCAUGUGGUUUAAUUCGAAGCAACGCGAAGAACCUUACCAGGUCUUGACAUCCCUCUGACCGCUCUAGAGAUAGAGCUUUCCUUCGGGACAGAGGUGACAGGUGGUGCAUGGUUGUCGUCAGCUCGUGUCGUGAGAAG